AUUAUUCUUGAUUCGCUUGUAUUAUUGGUAAAAUAUAAAAUCUACUGCAAACGUGCAAAUGUAUGGAACGCCAUAGUUGCCUCAUGUUGUUAAAUUUCUUUUUACCUUCACUUGAAAGCGUCUUGUUAUGUCAAAUAUGAGUGUUGUGUUUGUCGAUUUGUCUAAACAUUGCCUUAUUAAUGCGUAACAGUAGUCUAAUCACUACUUCAAAUUGUUAUGUUGACUUGUCCUUACAUUGUUUAAUUAUUUCAAACAGUAGUGUUAUCAUGUCAAAAUAUCGGAGGCUAUGACGUUCCAUAGAAAUGUUUAACUGUUUUUACUUUUACCUGCACAGCUGGAUGAGCGGAAUUUAUAAAUAAUAAUUAGAAAGCGAGAAACUAGAUAGAUAGAUUUAUUUCGGCAUAUGAAGCAUAUACAUAGUUGACAACAUAACAUAGGAUAAGAUAGUGAGCAUUAUUAAAUACUAUAUCACAUACGAGAAAACUAUAAAAACUACGAACUACGAACCUAACAGUACUUUCUUGAUCAACAUUUGUAUAUUUAAGAGUCAAAAUGCGGAACAUUUAAACGUUGUUUUUUGGUAUUUUGUUGAUUCUACUUGUUUUUCCGACAAAAGAAGCAGGUUUAGCUGAAGCGAAAAGCUAUUACCUGUUUUCUUGUCCACUGAGUUCGUCGCAAUCCUCUCUUUCCUCGAGCAACACCAAAGACUGCCCAAACAGAAGAAAAAGAGACAUUCCGUAUGGCUUUAGACAUACCUAUAUUCAAAUAGAAUCAAGAUGCUACGACUGGGGAGACUUAAAUUACCCUCCUCGGGCCAGCGAUUGCGAUGAUUGUGAACUUUAUUGUUGCGUGCAAAAGCGUAGGCUAGAGCUUACCGGAACUACCUCGUGUGCUAAUAGAAUCAGUGAGUUUGAAUCUGCCUGGACAAAUAACAGGAGAACAUAUAACUUCCUUUUUUGGAACUCCCAGACGUAUUCCUAGAAGAUGAGUAAAUUUCUGAACUCAUGCGACGUCAGUGUAUUUUUCGACAAAGAAAUACAUAUAACUUUGUAACAUCUAAUGAAAUUAAAGAAAUGUAUGAAGUUGUUACUUUCAUUUUAUCCCUUUCAGUUUUAAAUUUAUAGCCACAAGUGCACUAGACUGGAAUAUGUAGAUGAGCUAUAUGGAGACAUUAAAUACAUAAUAGCCAUUGUAAACAGAAUUAUAGGAGACUGUUUAUUUCUAAGAGGGACAACUCCACAAACCAUAUAGGAACAAGUUACUGUGCUGUAUAAUUGUCUCCCUUAGCUUCUCAUAUUUCAUAUUAUCAUUUUUAAACAAGUUAUGUCAUAUAAAUUAAUCAAAAACACAUAAUGAAAAUAUAUGUAUACUAAAAACAAUUAAAAACACAACUUUAUACAUGGUUAGUUACCACUACGGACCUACUUCUCUUGAAGUUUAUAAAAUGUAAUAUUACUACUAAGUAUUUUAUGGUAUGAGACUUAAAAUCUUUUCAUCUAUAACUUCUCAAUGUCAGUAUAUAUGCAUUGAAUCUAGAGGAGGCAUAAAUAAACUUUGACGUAUAUCAUUUUAAAAGGUUACAAUAGAGAAAUACAUGCUUUUCA
Ruditapes philippinarum (Manila clam) is the source of this 1604-nucleotide long non-coding RNA. RefSeq lists it as uncharacterized. The record is from RefSeq and is a predicted model, not a curated record. Lineage: Eukaryota; Metazoa; Mollusca; Bivalvia; Venerida; Veneridae. The transcript is spliced from 6 exons.